UAGGGAAUCUUCCGCAAUGGACGCAAGUCUGACGGAGCAACGCCGCGUGAGUGAAGAAGGAUUUCGGUUCGUAAAACUCUGUUGUUAGAGAAGAACAGCGCAUAGAGUAACUGUUAUGCGUGGGACGGUAUCUAACCAGAAAGCCACGGCUAACUACGUGCCAGCAGCCGCGGUAAUACGUAGGUGGCAAGCGUUGUCCGGAUUUAUUGGGCGUAAAGCGAGCGCAGGCGGUCAAUUAAGUCUGAUGUGAAAGCCCCCGGCUCAACCGGGGAGGGUCCUUGGAAACUGGUUGACUUGAGUGCAGAAGAGGAGAGUGGAAUUCCAUGUGUAGCGGUGAAAUGCGUAGAUAUAUGGAGGAACACCAGUGGCGAAGGCGACUCUCUGGUCUGUAACUGACGCUGAGGCUCGGAAGCGUGGGUAGCAAACAGG
RNAcentral lists this ribosomal RNA (429 nucleotides) under Bacteroidota bacterium. RNAcentral describes it as "Bacteroidetes bacterium partial 16S ribosomal RNA". It matches the Rfam family "Bacterial small subunit ribosomal RNA", at positions 355 to 776 of the family's 1533-position model. Lineage: Bacteria; Pseudomonadati; Bacteroidota. The record is from RNAcentral.